Non-coding RNA from Gossypium arboreum, 104 nucleotides. The record is from Rfam. Lineage: Eukaryota; Viridiplantae; Streptophyta; Magnoliopsida; Malvales; Malvaceae.
CUGUGAUGAGGACAAUUCUUUAGCAUUUUCUUGAAAUGAUCCCAUGCCUCGUAUAGGGAUUCACCUUCCAAUUAUUUAAAAUUGGAGAUUUUUAGCCUCAACUG